CGCCCAACAGCUAGCCCACCCACCCAAAAACAAUACACAACCAUUAAUACCCCCAAAUACCGUAACAUCACAAAACAAACCAUUUUUCCCCCUUAGUAUGGGAGACAGAAAAG
This 113-nucleotide ribosomal RNA is filed under the name Hapalogenys nigripinnis (short barbeled grunter). Its description in RNAcentral is "partial 16S ribosomal RNA". The record is from RNAcentral. Lineage: Eukaryota; Metazoa; Chordata; Actinopteri; Lobotiformes; Hapalogenyidae.